RNAcentral lists this ribosomal RNA (460 nucleotides) under uncultured bacterium. RNAcentral's name for it is "partial 16S ribosomal RNA". It matches the Rfam family "Bacterial small subunit ribosomal RNA", at positions 338 to 795 of the family's 1533-position model. The record is from RNAcentral.
CCUACGGGAGGCAGCAGUGAGGAAUAUUGGUCAAUGGACGAGAGUCUGAACCAGCCAAGUAGCGUGAAGGAUGACUGCCCUAUGGGUUGUAAACUUCUUUUAUAUGGGAAUAAAACGUUCCACGUGUGGGAUUUUGUAUGUACCAUAUGAAUAAGGAUCGGCUAACUCCGUGCCAGCAGCCGCGGUAAUACGGAGGAUCCGAGCGUUAUCCGGAUUUAUUGGGGUUAAAGGGAGCGUAGGUGGAUUGUUAAGUCAGUUGUGAAAGUUUGCGGCUCAACCGUAAAAUUGCAGUUGAAACUGGCAGUCUUGAGUACAGUAGAGGUGGGCGGAAUUCGUGGUGUAGCGGUGAAAUGCUUAGAUAUCACGAAGAACUCCGAUUGCGAAGGCAGUUCACUGGACUGCAACUGACACUGAGGUUCGAAAGUGUGGGUAUCAAACAGGAUUAGAUACCCGAGUAGUC